Dama dama (fallow deer) is the source of this 506-nucleotide long non-coding RNA. RefSeq lists it as uncharacterized. Lineage: Eukaryota; Metazoa; Chordata; Mammalia; Artiodactyla; Cervidae. The record is from RefSeq and is a predicted model, not a curated record. The transcript is spliced from 3 exons.
GUCCAGAGAGGCCCACUGCAGACCUUGAGGCACCCAUGUGGAUAACGAUGAAAGUCUCUGCUGUUGACUAGGGGACGGGGACACCCCAGCGUCUGGUCACUACUCUCACAAACAGAAGUAAAGGGAAAUGGGAGCACGGCACUUUGGUACUUGGCGCAGACACAAGCUCCAGCGUUUCGUGUAAGGUUUUUCCUGGUUCUAGACUGAGGUAAGAAGUGGAGUUAUUCAGAUUCAGAGAGACGCACACUCCACAGACAGAAGUGGGCCUUCGCAGAGGAUGAGCGCUGUGUUUUUCCUUCAUAGACUGCCAUGCCUACAGGACAACAUGUGUGUGCGCUUGUGUGUGAGUGCCUUGGGCCACCAAGUACCUUUGGGCGGGUUGUGCACUGCACAAGAGUAUCACAUUUAAGGGGACACCCUCAUAGCGUCAACAUUGUGGAUUUAUAUUUGUACUAUGAUAACUAUCUUGAAAAUGGUAAUAAAAUUUUCUAACAAAAUCAGUACUU